This 21978-nucleotide long non-coding RNA is filed under the name Ananas comosus (pineapple). RNAcentral's name for it is "long non-coding RNA (ACOM_LNC017998)". The record is from RNAcentral. Lineage: Eukaryota; Viridiplantae; Streptophyta; Magnoliopsida; Poales; Bromeliaceae.
UCGAUUCUCGUAUUUCGUAUUAGUGACCUGGUUGGUCGAUUCUCGUACUUCGUAUUAGUGACCUGGUUGGUCGGUUCAUGUAUGUCGUAUCUGUGACCCAUUUGUCGGUUCUUGCAUCUACACUUUUGUUGACCCUUGAGCAGUAUUUGCAUACUUCUAAGAGGAUGUUGAGUUGUUCCAUCCUAAUUGAGCUGAGUGGUCAGUUCUUGUUCCUCCUUACAGUUGAUGACCUAUACGAUCGGUGAGCCCUGUGGGCAGGAUUGUCGGCUGGUUGUCGACGGUUGAUUAUUGAGCAUAUUGCAUUGAUCGCCCGAUACUCGUCGCAUUUCACGAACACUGGCGGUCUGAUCCACCGCAAGGGGUGUUCUUUUCCAGAAAAGUGGUUGCAGGUAUCAACUCGUGAGCCCUAGAGGGGUUAUAUGCAUGGUUGAGUGGCAGUGGUACUGUCAGGAGGUUUGCGGUGCGCACCUCCAAGGCACAGGCUUGAGGCUUGCAGUGCGGACCAACAGAGCAGCAGAUUCUAGAUUGGGUAUAUUUGGUCUAUACAUCCGGUUGACGCAUAUGUCUAUAGUAGCAGUCGUUGCAUGCAUACUUACAGUUUUUGCCUUACAGUUGUCUUGUUACUAUAGUAUAUAUCCAUGUAUGUUUUUUGUUCUAGUUACAGUAGCGGUAGUCGUUAUUCUGUUAUAGUUCUACUUCCUUUCAGUUUAUUGCUACUAUAUUCAGUAUAUCUACUCAUUACCUUGUUUAUCUCUUCCUGAUCCAAUGAGUACUCCUCGCCUUCAUCGGCUUGCGGUACCCACUGGGAGGGGAGACAUGUUUACAUGUUCUCACCUCCCCCACUAUUUUUCAGGUAUUGCAGGCAGUGAGUGUUGGGACGAGACGUGAGAUACGUUUGUAGCGGUUGAUAGUGCUUCCGACCCGGUUUGUGUAGUUUAGUUACUACCUUCGUUAUUUUUGUUGAUAUGACUUAGACAUCUAUAUGGUUCAGUAUUUCAUUAUGUAUAAUUAUUCAAGAUUUCAGUUGGUUUUCCGAAUGAGAUAAAGAUUUCUGGAUUUUUGUAAAAAGAAAAGGUUUUCUAUCCCUCGUGGUAGCGUGUUUUAAAAAGAAAAGGUUUCCGUGUGGGAAACAGCUUUCAAAAGAGUUUUCUCGUGAUUUUCUUGAAUUAGUAUUUCAAAAUAAGUUUCUGGAUAGGAAACGUUUCAACUGAUAGUUGUGAUUUAUAUUCAGAUCUAUAUUUAUGAACCUGUGGUGAAUGGUGUAUGGAUAUUGAAUGCAAGAUGACUUGUAUAUUCAUUUAGUUGUGGUUCUAUCUUGUUUUACAUUUUGUACUUGUGCGACGCCGUGCAAAUAUACAGGGGAGACUCUGUCCGUGUGAACAGUGGAAUCCCUGUAUUUGUGGCGGAUCUAGCAUACCCUGGGUCAGGUUUUCAAAAAAAAAAAAAAUUUAGUCACUUCCGCUGUAUUUUCAAACUAAAAAGGACCCCGGGGCGUGACAGAUUAAAGUGGUAUCAGAGACAAGUUACAAACAUGACACCAUUCACAGGUUGUUUUGAAAAAUAAAUAAAACUGAACCAUUGGUUAGGUUGACCCUUAGGAAGACCUACGGUAUAUAGGCACGUGAGUGCGGGGUUUGGGCUUGAGUCCCGGUGUGAAUGUUGAGAUUGGUAAACUUGAAUGCAUGGUUAUUUCCUUAUGCGUUACGGUUUUCGCACAAGCUGGUGUCUAAGUCGGGAGUAGUGGCGGUGUACUACGGACAUCGAGUGGCAGGACGACAUUCCCCAGGUGUUGCCACUCCUGUCAGGUGGGGUUUUGAAGGGCCAGGUGAUCUUCAGCCUAGGCGAGUGUCUUAACUGCCGACACCCAGGCCACUCUUCCUACUGAGGGCACGAGAGUUACUGCGAGUGUCUAUACGGAGACGGUACUUGGACCAGUUAUGGUCGCGACUUCAGUGGGGCUACUAGGGUGUAGCCUAGGGUUUGGAUAGCGGUCGUUUAGGCGACUGCAUUGUCAGUGUUGCUUCCGCAGAUCUUUAGGUAAGGUUGCGAUGCCUAUCUCUCCUCCUUGAUUGCUGAUUGGAAUCAGCAAUUUGGGUCUUUUGACCUUGAACUAGUUCUUUUGUCAAAUUGACGUGUACUAGAGUCGGAUUGACACAGUUUUGGUGUCAGGUUUUCGUUGAGGCAUACAUCGUAUGCGGUUAUUCUAACACCUAAAUUGGUGUGUUGUGGGUUAGUUUGUAGUUGGUGAUAGGUUUCGUCUUGAUUCGAGAGACUCCAGGUUAUUGUCGGAAUUUUCAGAGCUUUGAUUAUAGCUCGGUUGUGGUGCAAAAAUCGGUUAGAUAAAUCGUUUCCUAAAACCUCAGUUGGUUCGGUUCGCGGCUUAGUGUCGCUAGCAGCUUUCGGAUGUUGAAAGUUAUAGGACUCCCUGUGAGUCGGUUCAGGGUCGUUCUGAUUUCGAAUGUCGACUGGUAAAGUCGAUGUUUGGAUAGUAAUGGUUGUGAACUCUUGGUUCAGUGAAGAGGUAUGAGGUAGCUUGAUACUUCGAUGUGUCGCGCUUCCAACUUGUUGUUGGUAGUGGAUCUUCGGAUAUUUCGUUUUCUUUUGAUAAGUACAUUGGCUGCAGACAAUAUACUGUCAAAAGUGGGACAAAAUACCCUUUCCCUGCUUGGGGACUCUUGGAUUGGGUUGAUAGUUUUCUCUAAAGUGUCUUGUGGGAAAGCUAGAGUGAUGGUCAUCUCUGACCACGUAGCGAGCCUUGGAUUAUUCCCUGGCAGGUUUGCGCAGUUGAUUUAUCAUCACUGCCGAUGGUUUUGACUCUAGUUCGAGUCUGGGUGUCUGUAGUUCUUUAGUUGUGCUUCCCACAACUAAAAGGUUUGUUAGUUAGUAGUCUCGGUCUGUUGCCGUGAGGUUCGGAAUUAGUGGUGGAGUGACUUGAGCCUGGUUGUUGGCUUUGAUUAUCACCGUAUGUGAUAGCGUGUAAGGUUUGCAACUUGGCGUAACGUGCAAAUCUUGAAAUGGUAUACUUGUCCAGUCAAAUUGGUGACAGGUGCGCCUGGGUCUCGAUAAGACGGGUAAUUGGGUGUUGCUGGGAACAUCGAUCGCUAGGGUCCCUUAUAGGACGGCAGCGACAGGAUCUCGUAGAGACAGGUGUUGAGCAUCACCGAUGGAUUUUUUAUCGCAUAUGCGAUUGGCGACCUGUGCAUCAAGUGAUAGACUUGCAAAAAGCAUUUGGUGAUCUGUUGGUACCAGAUUAAGUUUGAGGGGACAAAAUUGUCUAGCUCAAUUAGUAUUGUCAGUUAGACCUUUUGGUCAAGUGGAAAGCGAGGUCUUGGAUCUAGGACUAUAGAUUGUCGCAGGUGACUUUCCGUUGAUGAAGGUUCCGGCAGUUUGUGUGGUUAUUGGUGGGAGACUGUGGUCUCCAAGGUGAGAGUUUUGACUCAGGUAGAACAACGUUUCUUAUUCGCUCAUGGUGAGCAAGUUGACGUUGUUGGCUAGUCAGAGUGUGUCUUUUCGGCCUAUGAAAAUACACUCCAGACUUGUGGUGUUGACUCUCUUCUACGUGAACCUUCGACGUCGUCGAGUCGGUUAUUGGUAUGCGGACCAAGGUUUAGUGUAUCUAGAGUUUCUGAGUGGAGAAUUUUUAUCUCAGAGUUGGUAAUUUGGGAUCUGGUAAUCCUAGUCGCGGGACUGUUUUUGUUCGCAGGUUAUAGGAUGGUGUUGAUCCCGGUGAGUUUUGGUCUGUAAAUUUUGGGUUGGUACGUUUUCCCUCGAUUUGUCAGGUGGAACCGCAGUCCUAUUUUCCCCCUUCUUCGGAGGUUGAUAUAUCCAAAUGUAAUUGACCAGUACUCAAGGGUGAUACUGUAGUGGUGGAGUAAUACCUGAAUUCGAUUACGAUAGGUACGUGGUCAAGUUUCGGGGAUGAAACUUCUUUUAAGCGGGGGAUAAUGUAAGGACUGAGAUUUUGGCAGUGCAGCUAAACUCUCUGCUGACGAUGUUUCUUUGUGUAAUUUAAUUACAUAAGCACUCGUCAAAUUUCAGGAGAAAAUGAGCUAGAAUAGAGAAGUUACGCGACCAGGACCGAUGACUUAAAGUGAAUAGUAACUCCGGCUUUUCGGAUGAGCUAGUUAGUAGAGAACGGUUCUGGCGCGUAUUGGACUCCGAACAUAGGACUCCAAUAGCUCGUUUCGAACGGCUCGACUAUUCUAAACCCAGUGGCACUGACGGGAUUAGGUUCUGAAGCACGGUUUUUGAGAAAAAAGGAUUCGAGUGGAUUUAUAUAUAUAUGGUGUAUAUAUAUGUGUGUGUUUUAUAGUAGAUUAAAGAGGGUUGAUUUCGUCGUGAAUCGGCAACCAAUCGGGUGAAGCGAAAUGCUAGAUUCGAUGCCCCAGUCGUGCUGAACGCGCUGAUGCAAUCCGUUCGGAAAUCCGAUGGAUGGAUCCUCAGGAAAUGUGAGAAGUUCAUUGAAGGGUUGAAUUGGCAAAAAUGGAAAUUUCGCGAGAAGCCCUAUAUUUUAUGUACCGAAUUGCAUGAAAUCGGACGACGAGGUGCGUGCGUGCAAAAUACACGCGUUGUGAAGGUCUCAGUAUGAAAUAAUAAGGUUCGGAGGACUUAUGUGCAAAAUGGCCAUUUGCAUAAAAGAGAUUUUUUAGGGUUUUCAAUGAGAAACCCAACCCUAGAGGCCUUCUCCCUCAGCCGACCCCUCUGCCAUCCUCAGCAUCACCAUACCCGUGCCGCGCGCGCACCCGGCCGCCGGCAGGUGCCCCGGCUGCUGGAAAAUUUGGAUUCGGCCUUUUCUCCAUCACUUCUACUACCUAACUACCUCCUCCUCUCCACCGCGGGCCACCCAGGAUGAUUCUCAACUUUCGGGCCCCUUCUUCAGCCAUGGCCUGACCUCCGGCAUCGUCCUCACCGGCCUAUGCCGCAUGCGCACGCAGCCAGAGCUCUUGUGGCCGCCUGGACAGAGUACUGGCCAAGCCGAGGCCACCUUGGCCUCCGCGCGCCGCCGUCGCCUUUAAUCGGUCGGGCUGCCUCACUAGGGCUUCCGGCGACCCUCCGCGCGCCACUGCCACUGUCCCCGCCAGCCCUGUCGUCCACUCGCGCGCCGCCGUCGCCGCCUGGGCGAUUCACGGGCAGCAUCUGCCAGCUCGGGCCGAGAAUGGCCGCAUUGCCUUCCAGCGCCGCCGCCGCCGCCGGGGACCUCAUCGGCGGCCACCCUCAUGACCACCGGCACCCCCGCGUCCUGCCCGAAGGGCCGCCGUCGCCGCCACACGCCUUGGGCGCGGUCACAGCGACCCACGGCCGAGCCGAACUCGGGUAGCCACGCCUGAGCUGCGGGCUACCGACGCCGUCGUGCGGAGCCGCCACUCUACUCCUCGUAACCCCGGAGGAGCCCUGCGACCACCCCGCGGCUGCUCGAGCUCCGCCAUGGCCGGAGUUGGCGGUUGGAGCUUCCCCCUAACCCGUGCAGGCUCAGUCUUCCCCCACGCCGCCGCCACCGGCCGGCGUGAGCACCGGCUCCGCCUGGUCGGCCGCACUCAUCCUGCCGCCGGCUCCCCACCACCGGAGCUCCCUGUCGGCCGGAUCUGGACCAUGCUCUCCUCGGGUUGCUUAGCCUAGGGCAUCAAUUACUGUCGUCACCUAAAAAUUUUGAGGAGCCCAAGGAUCUAUCUAGAUUGUAUCCAACACCUAGAGGGGAGUGAAUAGGUGUAACGGCUAAAAAACCACAAAUCUCAAUGCGAUCAAAAUAAAUGCAGAAAAUAAAAAUCACAAGAGAUUUACGUGGGAAAACUCCAACUUGGAGUAAAAAACCCACGGGACCAACACGCGAAAAAAUAAUUCACUAAGAAGAAAGAUUACAUGGUGAUUACCGACUCCACGGACUCAACCUCUCUUAACCUCCUAUGAAUCUCGCGCAAUCCUCCGGGUUGUCCACGCCCUCACGUUCGAACCCACGAAUGCCACGUUCCGAAUCCACGAAACGCCUCCACUCCGAAUCCACGAAGCUCACGAUCCGAAUUCACGAACCGCCGUCAAUCACGCUGAAUCCACGACACCAUCAUGAAGAACAUCAUGUUUAUGGUGAUCCUUCGCUUAGAGUAUUGAUGAAAACCAGGAAAUAGAUCUCCAAGCAAAGCGAACGUCAAAUCGACAUAUAGAUAUGAAAUUCCAAUAUCUCGAUUUGACCUAAAAGAGGCUAAUAUGUAGAAAAUAUAUUUUAGAUGAAAUACGAGCCUCUAGGGUUUCUCAAACAUGUAUUUUCGUGAUGCUUAAUAAGUUAGAGAACCCCAAUAGCUUAUUUAUAGACUUUAGAAUCAAACGGAGUUGGAUUAAAAAGUUUUUACCGAAAUUUGCAUUAUGUACCAGUACACAUGAGGCUGUCACCGGUACACGAUGACGGAACAGAAAUCUGCGAAGCCAAAGAAAAUUUACGAAACAAUGUUGAUGGCUGUACUGAUACGGGUCAAUGGCUGUACCGGUACACAGUGCAUUUUUCAAACUUUUCAGUAUUUUGGGUUCCGCAGAGUUCCGAAGUACUUUCUAAUCAACUAGACAUUGAUAAUAAUGAUUCUAAUGCCUAUACUAAGUACGAAUCACCAUAACAUGAAGUAAAGACUUUACUAAGCAUCGUGAUUCAUGUCGUGAGUUAUCUCUGCCUUCUCCAAAGUCUUGGAUUCUUCGUUCUUCGACGAUAUGCUCCGAAACCUUCAAGACUCCGACUCAAUCCAUGAAACUUGCCAACAUACAAGACUUAACAAUCUCCCCCUUUGGCAAUUUCGUGACAAAAUUCACAAUAAGUCAAAAAAUUACAUUUUAAAGAAAAACGAAGUUCAAUUGUCAUCACCAAAACAUUGAACCCCUCGCAUGCGAUCCAAAUACAAUAUGAAACGCAAAAGUACAUCAAAACUCCUAAGACAGACUCUAUGACUUAGACACAACUAGGAGUCUUGAAGUCUUGAUGUCAUUCAAUUCAAUGUUCUUUCAAUGUUCUUAUUGUACUCGAUCCAUCUCCCCCUUUGUUCAUCAUUCUCUCCAUCAUCUGCUUUGAUCAAUACCUGUUCUUCUUAUGAUCUCCCCCUUUUUGUCAAAAAUUGCCAAAAAAAAGCAUAUAGAUAGGAAAUACACUAAGAAGCAAAAGAGUAGUCAAGUCAUAGUUACAGGCCUAAAGCAAAAACAAAAACAUGCAAAGGUAAGAUAAACAAACCAAGCUAAACUAAAACAUCAUCCUACAAAGCAAACACAGUGAAGUAAACAGAAGAAAUCACUCCGUGUCCUCGUCAUCAUCAUCGUCAAUUCCAGCUCCAGCUCCAGAACCAGAACCUCCCGCAUCCGAAGCUCCAGUAGAUGGAGGAAUAAGAGGAUGCCGCGAAGUAGACCUCGUGUAGGUAGGCUGAGUAGGAAAAAUAUCAUCAUGCCCACAUCCCAAUUUUUACAUCAUCCUCUUCAUGCCCACUUCCACCUUCCUAGCAAGAUCUGCCACUUUCUUCUUCAAAGAUCGCACCUCAUGGUGAAGUAAUUCUACAGUAAUCACUCCCCCUGAACUGGAAGAUCCCUCACACUCUGCUCGAGGUGGAGGUACCGGGCUAGAAGCUGCUCGCGAUGGUCCUUUCGUUUCCUGAAAAGUCUUUAGCGUGCUAACCGACUUGGCCUAGGUAACAGCAUCGAUUGGACCAAGACCGAAAUCAUACUUCUUGCAAGAAACAUCUACUCCAUUCUCCUGCAGAAUUCUCAUGAUCAACAGAGGAAAUGGAAGUAGAUCCCGUCGGGCAGAAGCCUGAAUGACAUGAACCAUCCGCUGCCACAUCAGAAAAGGGAUGUUGACGUUCAAACCAUAUGCUUGCUCAGGGUGACCAAGUAGAUAUAGCAGAACCAAACGAUCCCAACGAAUCCUCUUUAUUACAAUCGUUGGUUGCACAUUGUAGCUCAAAACCCAGGACAGUAGAUGAUACUCUGGUAGUAAGUCCUUGGACUCCACAUAAGCACGAUUAGUUUGCACUCCAGCCUUGCAAAUAGCUUCUACAACUGUAUCCCAGUGAGAUGAAGAUUGAAAUCCUCCUGAUGUAUAAAGAAGACUAGUAGUGUCCACGUUCAUCCCCAACAGCUCUUCAAUAGUAUGUGGGGUAACGAGGACCUUCUGCUGACGCACGAAUGUCUCAAAUAGAAAAGUCCCGAUCUCCUCAUCCUCUACGAGUACCUUCCCGUUCAUAUAGAACUCACGAAUGAGUUCCACACAAAAUGGAGCGCGAGCAGGAACCCUACCAACUGGCUCAAUAGGAACCCGUUGAAGUAGCCGUCCAAACUCAGGAACGUCAUGUAUAAGUUCAUUGAAGUUGACAUAACGCUCUGCAAUACAUGACUUGCUCAUUAACAUCCUCCGCCGCUCUGGGGGAACAUCCGCGGCCUGUUUUGAACGACGCUCAUGAGCAUGAGAACCACCUCAUGAGGACUCUCCAGCUAUACCCUUUCCUUUGUCAGGACGAGCAACAGCCUCGGGAGAACUGGCCUGAUAAUCUGGAUCAGAACCAGAUGCCUCAGUAGUAGUACGUGUCCUCUUAGAGGCCCUUCGACGACCCCUUCCACGAACAUGACCGCUCCCAGCGGCCAUAAGCACCAGCAAUGUCAACACGAGGAAAAACACCAUUUUCCUACACAACAAGAGCAUAUAUGAACACAAUUUUUCCAAAAAAUUUGUAAAAAUAGUGAAAAAUUUUCUAAUAUUCUUAGAAUGGAUACUAACGCUAUUUCAAACUAAUUCAUGCAAAAAAUUUCAUCAAAAAUUGAUAUUCCAACACAAAUCCCGAAAUUCCAAGCAUAUCGAAAUCUAGAUCACAAAUCAGCGAAAAAUAAUACGUUUUGACAUGAUUGAAGUGACUUAGACGCAAGAUAAUAUCCAUAAACACUAAUCUACAGCAAAAAAUUGCAUAAAAAAUGAUCAAAAACAGAGAUCUGAGCAUGAACUCGAAAUUUUUUCAAAAAAAAAUGCAAAAACGUGAUGAUACCAUGAAAUCCCAACAAAAUACUCACAGAUUUAGGGGGGAACUUCGUGGAUCUGGAGGAGGAGGAUCCUAGGGAGUCGUAGAAACAGAGAGAAUGAGAUUUGGUUUUGAAUUUUGGAAGAAAUAAGACCCUAUAACCGGAUAUAUAAGCUGCUGUUAUAGUAACCGUACUGGUACACGGGUUUGUGUACCGGUACACAGUCCCAAAUUUCGAAAAAUUUACAUUAAAAAUCUAUUAAUCUUAAAUUAAUUUUAUAUAAAUUAAGAAUUUUAUUCCAAAAAUUAUUAUAAUAAAAAUAAAAUAUUAUAAGAUUUCAAAAUACAUCGAAACACCAAAAUUUCAUAAUAAAAAAUGACCUCAAGUUGCAAAAUCAUCAAGAUGUAACGGUUCACGAAAAAUAAUUUUUUAGAAAUUCGGCAAAUUUGACACCAAUUUGUCGUAACACGUUCAAAAUAGAGAUUUAACUAAUACGAUACCGGGGGUGGCUUUGAGCAUCUUUUUCAAAUUAACACCUUAUAACUCCGAAAAUUCUAAAAUAUUCAAAUUUUUUUUCAACCUUUUCGGUUAUUCAAUUCAAUUCAAUCUUCAUGUGGUAGCUUCACACAUUUGCCGAACGACCGGGGUGGUAACUCUUUCUUACAUGUGGCGGUAGUUUUCACACUCAUUUUGAAUGUAACUCUUUUCACAUCUUUUAAACAUAGGAGUUUCCCCUUUUUUUUAAAAAAUAAAUAAUUUCAAACUCCUCCUAAAUUAGACAAUCUCACAAUUGAAAAUAUUUUGAUAAAUUUUAGUUUAUUAGCGAAUAUCCAUCUAUCAUAUCCAACACACACAACCGAGAUAGAUUAAUCAUUAAGAGAUCAAAUUUGAUUUCAAAGUUUUGUUCAAUAUAUGUAUUAAGAAAUCAUAUAUUAAAUUAUCGUCAAAAUAAUAAAAAGUGGAGUAAAACCGAUAAUAAUAUGAAUUUAAUUCAAGAUGAAUUCCGGUUAAAAACACUUUGAAAAAUUUUAAUCUCCCAAAAAUAAAGAUUUUCAAUCGUCUCCUUUCUCAAAAAAAAAUUUUAAAAUUCUCAAACAUCCUUACUCAAAUCAUUUUUUUUUUUUAAAAAAAUUUGCACACAAAAAUCAUCAUGUAAUGCAAUGAAUAAAAAAAUACAACAAGCACCAAUCAAAGCAUUACAUAAACAAUUAAAAUAAACUAAGACAAAAAGCAGGGAAAGAUAUCACCUUUUCGAAUCCAAACUUGUCGGAUUUUGCGUUGUCUUGUCUUGUCGAUGUUAGGCAUAAUUUGCUUUGAUUUUUGAUCAACCGUUAGUCGUUUCGUCGCUUAAGGCUUCGGUUGGAAUUGUUGAUGAAACUUUGACUUCCGAUUUGCUUGUGGGAAUGAUCGAACUUGACGUUGCGGCUUUGAAGUCCAGUUCCCUUGAGGUACUCGACUCACUUGAUUUUUCUUUUGAUUCUGUGGGUUUUGAUGUGUCCUUUGAUGCCACAUUUAUGACACACCUUCUCUUUCGAAGUUGUUGAGACAUUAGAAGUUGAUUUUGAAACCUUUUCAACACAUCAUAUCCGAGGCCGAACUUGUUUGUUUGACCCAAUCCGAGCAUAUGAUCUAAUUUCUUUGAGCCGGAAGAGAAUUUUUGUAUGUCAGAUUGAAGUUGACGAACUUGAUUGGUCAAUGACUUGUUGGAUGUAUGCGAUCCUCGAAUUGUUGCUCCAAAAAUCCAACCUUGUCUUUAUACGAUUUGAUCGUUGACUCCGCUUAAUCAAGUUUCUCUUGGAGGAUUAAGUUAUUCUUAGAAAUCGAUUCCUUUUCCUCCUUAAGAGCUUUAUUCAUUGUCUUCAAAUUUUUGUUCACCUCUUCAAUGUCCAAUAAACGACGCCUCAACUUCUUAUUGAGCUUGGUCAUCUUUUUCGAAUCAAUAAGAAGUUGGUUGUAUGCUUCCGCUAUAUCCUCGUCGUUUGAUUCCUCCUCGCUUUCACCGAUAUCGCUCGAAGUAUCUUGCACGGAAGGAGAAAUACUAGAAUUAGAAACAAUUGAGGAUAAGCACAUAACAUUAGACGAAGGCAAAGAAUUAUUAGCAAGUAAAGCAAUAUGAUCAUCCUUUUCUUCGUCACUUGAAGAUGAUUCACUCGAAGUAGAAUCAUCCCAAGUUUUUGCUUACAAAGCCUUUUGUCUAUCAGUCUUCUUAGAAGGACAAUCCGUUGCAAUGUAACCGUAGCCUUUACAUUUGUAGCAUUGGAUUUCACCGUCAAAUUCAUCUUUUUCUUUCGAAGACUUUGCAAGUUUUUUAUCCUUAGAUUUAGAACUUGAAGAUUGUCUUGAAAAAGAUUUAUACUUCGAAUAUGAAGCCUUGUCCGUAUUGUUCUUCUUUUGAAAAUUCCGUCGGAAUUUCUUUGUGAGGAGAGCCAAUUGAUGUUCAAAGUCGCCGAGCGAAAUAUCUCCGUCGAAAUCCGAGUCGUCUUCUUCUUUCUUUGUUGAUUUGAGUGCAACCCCUGUGCUUUUAGAAAAAGAUUUGGAAGAAGAUGGGUUAGUAGGAAAAGUCAUCUCAUACGUUUGUAGAGCGCCUACUAAUUCUUCGACUUUCAUCUCGUCCGGAUGCUUAAUGGUUUCGAUUGCGGCAACCUUUGCCCGAAAGCGUUCCGGAAGAGUUCGAAGAAUCUUUCUAACAACCUUAGCAUCCAGGAUUUUCUCUCCCAAGUUAGCGCAUGUAUUCACAGCGUCUUGUAGACGCGUAUAGUACUCGGUAAAGGUCUCGUUUUCUUCUAUAAAAAUCGAGUGAAAUUUGCUUGUUAGCAUUUGUAAUUUUUGGACCUUUACUAAGCUUGUUCCUUCAUGCGUAACUUGUAGAGCAUCCCAAAUUUCCUUUGCCGUUUCGCAUGCCGAAACAUGAGUAAACUCUGUUUGCGAUAAAGUGUUGAAUAAAGCAUUAAUUCCUUUACCGUUAAACGAACAUGACUCAUUUUCAUCAUUUGUCCACUUGUUUCGUGGUUUUGGCGUUUCAACAUUCUCGACCUUUUCAAUAGGAUGUUUCCAUCCAAAUUCUAUUGAUUGCCAAACGCGCUCAUCGAUUGCGAUUAGAAAAGCUCUCAUGCGAACUUUCCAAUAGGCAUAGUUUGUGCCAUUGAAAAACGGUGGUCGAUUAAUGUUUUCGCCUUCGGCCAUUAGAUAACAAUUUAUCUAGAUCCCGCUCUGAUACCAAUUGAAAGUUUUGAGGAGCCCAUGGAUCUAUCUAGAUUGUAUCCAACACCUAGAGGGGGUGAAUAGGUGUAACGGCAAAACAACCACAAAUCUCAAUGCGAUCAAAAUAAAUGCGAAAAAUAAAAAUCACACGAGAUUUACAUGGGAAAACUCCAACUUGGAGUAAAAAACCUACGGGACCAACACGCGAAAAAAUAAUUCACUAAGAGAAAAGAUUACAAGGUGACACUACAACAAAAAUAAUUUUUAGUGGCAACUUUUUAGUGGCGACAAGAACUGUCGCCACUAAUGUAUUUAAUAUGGUGGCGACAUUUAUUUGUCGCCGCCAAUUCGUAGGAAAUGGCGGCGACAUUUAUUUGUCGCCACCAAUUCGUAGGAAAUGGCGGCGACAUAUAAUAGUCGCCACCGAUACGGGAUGCAUUGGCGGCAACAUAUAAGAGUCGCCACCGAUACUAAAAUAUAACCACUGAUACAGAUACUAAAAUAUAACCACCUCUAUACAGAUGCAUUGGUGGCGACAUUUAAAUGUCGGCGCGAAUACAUAAACAAUGGCGGCGACGCCUAUAUGUCGCCACCAAUGUGUAAACCAUUAGUGGCGACUAAUGUCGCCGCAGAAUUUUUUCAUACAUCCCGCCAUUACUUCCCUCCUUUUUUUUCCCACCAACCAGCACCAUUCUUUUCUUUUUGUUGGACUAUUAUACCCUUACUUAUUUUAUAUGUUGUAUGCAAAUAGUUGGACUAUUUAGUCUUUUGACAGAUUAAAAAAGAGUAAAUAAUAUGCACAGGGAAAAAAUCCCUAAACCCCAAAUUACACGAUCACCCUCUCAUUCACCUCUCCCCCUCUCCUUCACAUCUCCUCUCUUCUCCCUCUCGAAGCUCGGAUCGCGUUCGCACUCUCUCCCUCUCCUUCACCUCUCCUCUCUUCUCCCUCUCUAAGCUUGGAUCCUUAUCAGCGGCAGCGGCGGCGGUGGCGUCGUCUCCGGCGGAGGAGCUCUCGGUGGCAGAGUGGCUGAGGAAGCUCUCGGCGGCGGAAUCUAGGGUUCCGGCGGGAUCAGUUCGUAACCUUCCUUCUUGCUUCGUUCACUCUAGAGAGAGAUUAGAGAGAGAGAGAUAGGAGAGAGAGAGAUGUCGAGAUCGGCGGCGGAGGCAGCGGGGGGAGGAGGAGCGGCGGCGAGGUUGUCAAUAUGGGAGUCGCUGAGGGGGUGUUGAAUCUUCGGGAAGGAGAUCGACAAGGAGGAACUUCGGCGGCAGAUCGCGAUGCCCCAGUCCCUCUGUGCGGCGGUGGCCGCUGCCGUGAGGAGCAAGGACACGACCUCCCCCGCGGCGGCGGCGGCGGCGGCGUCGACCGCCAGCGAGGAGGCUGCGCCGGAGUAGACGAAGGCGCCAGUGGUCGUCUUCGUCAACUCGGGUGGCAGGGGGCGCCAUGGCCCCAAGCUCAAGCUCUGGCUCCGGGAGCUCAUAAGCCAGGAACAGGUUAAGAGAAACACGCACACACACACACUCUCUUUCUCAUGCUUUUUGCUAGGUUUAUUGCGAGUUUUUGGCCUAAGAUUUGGUCGGAGAAACUCCGGGAGUGCCACUCUAAAGAACGAUUUAUAUAAAUACUUUAUAUCCAUUACUUCUUAUGUUUUGGUUGAAACUUUUUAGUAUGCUCGAAACGUGGGCUCGAAUCAAAUAGCGGAAAAUUGUUCACAAUUUCCCCAUGAGCACGGCGGCGAAGCAGCCUACAAUAACCCCAAAAGAAGAACCUGCCCUAUUUGAUCUGAGCGGAGUGAGUUUUUUUUUAAAAAAAUUUAAUUUGGCAUUCGAAUUUUGAAUUAUCCCCACAAUUUCGACUUAGUUUACUUGUAUUUUGAAGCUUGUUUGAUUGUUAUGUAGAUUAAAGUGCUAUUCACUCAGUUUCUCUAAUUGAUGUGUAAUUGUUGAACAUAUGGAAUUGAUGUUAGACCAUCUGCCUAAUAGUGAUUCGAACUGAUACUCGCGUCAAUGAAUUAUAUUUGGUUGAAGUUUUGUUUUGCAUGAAUUACUAAUAGUGAUGCUUUGUUUUAAUUGUUCUAGCGUAGGAUAGAUAAAUCGAGUAACGGAAACAUUAAUUUGCUGGUAUCUUAGUCUUUUUAGAUUUACUGUGGCACUAAUUUUUUCCACUUAUCACCCCCACACUGUAGUUUACUAUGCACAUUGCAUUUUACUUGACUAUGAAGUGCUUUAGUUGCUUAAGCUAAAUGCAUAAGUAGGUUUCUGGUCAAACGAGCUUGGAGCAAAUGUUGGCUUUGGUACUACUAUACCUUGAUAAAAAAAUAGUAUAAUGGAUUUGAGAAGGAAAGCAGCAGUUGUAUUAGAUUAAAUUUCCAUCAAAGCAAAAAAUUGAUGCUACAGAUGAACCCUCAACUCAUUUUAGGCCCUGAGUACAUAAGCAAGCUACCCUAGAAGUGCCCUUCUCACUCUUCAACUUUCUUCCUGGCAGACAGAUGCAUUUGCACUACAAUCGUUGAUUCUUCGAGUAGCAUUCAUGCCAUUUCUUCAUAUUUGCCAAAAAGUGUCUUCUUGAAGCUUUGUUAUAUAGAUGCAUCUCAAGUGAAAGAUAAAAGCUUUUUCAUAUAAAAUACUCACAUUGGGUUAAUUUUGUGAAUUUCGAUACUCAGUUCUUGGAAUUUAUUGAUCUUUUCUAUUACACACAAUUCUUCUGGGCAAAGUAGGACGACAAUUGAUGUUAUAUUUAACUUAUCUCAUUUGAGAUAUGCAUUCAAUGAUGCUUGAGUACUUCGAUUUUUUUUCAUAAUUAAACAAGAUUGUUGAAUUUCAGAUAGUUCACUGAACUUUGCCGAGGCUGAUGGAUCAUGAAGGGUUCAGAGGCAUAUUGACCUCGGAUAAGUACAUCAAUCCUGUCAACUAGUCAACAACUGGAACUUAGUUAAAUCGAUUAUCUGCUUAUUUGCAAUACUAAUACAUUUACACCAAAACUAUAUGAACUCAUCUAAAAACAUGGAUCCUUGGUAAAAUUUUUCAUAUCCACUUCUAUUUCAAACUUGAAACCUUUUCUCCAUUUGCUAAUAUAACCAAACCCACUUGAGUCUUUGAUUCUUAACGAACUAGUCUACAACUUCAUCUUUAUGGCCGAGAAACUUCAUCUUUAGGGCUAACUUACGUCAAUAUGUUCACCAUAUUUAUAAAAUAACUCAAUUGGAGAGUUCCAAGUUUGCUGUUCGUAUAAGGUCUAGAAUCCAACGGAUGAAUGGAGAAAUAGCACUUCUUUUUCCAGUCUUAAACACUUCAGUACCGUAAAUUUUGCUAUCUUUGUUACUACUGCAAUAUUUAUUUUCCGAAUUUUCGGUAUAUUACAGAACAAUUUGACAUGAACUUGUAGUCUUUAUUAUUAGUUGAUUGACAAUUCCCAUUAUUACAGGGAUUUGUCGCACAACAAUUUGACAGGGUCCAUACCUGAUGCUUUAUCGGAGUUACCGUCACUUGUAUUCCUGUAUGUAACAUAUUUUUCUAGGUUUAAUUUUUCCUGGCUUCUUGCAGAGAUUUGGCAUAUAACCAACUAAACGGAUCAAUUCCCGCAGGCCUACUUAAAAAAUCACAAGAUGGGUCACUUACCUUAAGGUUUGAAUUCUCUUUAGUUUUACUGCUCCUUUUGAAUUGCGUUUCGUCAAACUGUGUUUCUUUUUUCUAUCUAUCAAAGAGGUUUCCUUUUUUUUAUAAUAGAUUUCUCGCUCUUCUUCUUCAUCUUUUCAAGUUUAGACUAACUGCGCUCAACUAACUCUAUGGUCUUUUCAAUGCUAGAAUUGGAAAUAAUUUAAAUCUUUGUAACAACGGUGAUUCAUGUGUGCUCACAAAAUCAAAGAAGAGUACACCGACGGCUGUUAUCGUGAUUGUUCCAAUAGUUGUGGUAGUGCUACUGGUGGCAGCGAUGCUAGUAAUGUGCAGAAUAAGGAAACAUAGAGGUAACUUUUAUUGAUGUAAAAUCCUUUCUUGUGCAUUCUCCUAAACAUUGGUAUUUGAGUGAUCUUAGAAAUUGUAGUACAUCCAUUAUUGAUCAUCUUACGUGUUGAUUUGCUUUUCUCAAAGGCUUAGCAAUAGGCACCUCUGUGAAGCCGUCGAGAAGGGACAACAAUAAUGAGGACCAUUUGUUGCAAUUUGAGAACAGGUAGUUCACGUACACGGAGUUAGAGAUAAUAACGAAUUACUUUGAGCGAGAAAUAGGCAGAGGAGGAUUCGGGAAGGUCUAUGAUGGCUUCUUGGAGAAUGGUACUCAAGUUGCGGUGAAGAUGCGCUCUCAGUCAUCUCAUCAAGGAGUAAAAGAAUUUCUCUGUGAGGUAAUCUAUUUCAAUCAACUUAGCUCAGGUUUUUGGUUCAAAAAAGGAUCAAACUGAACUGAAUAUGUCAUGAAACCAAAAGAAUAGCAAACGAAACCUAAUUGAACCAACAUGAAUAUUAUUGGUAUGGUUUACACAGGUUGGAGUUCAGCUGUCUUAUCGGGCUUUGUUUAGGUUUAAUAUGGUUUUGCUCAUCGAUUUCCUAUCUAAUGACUGCGAUGUCUAUAAUCUGCAACCAUUUAGGUUGGGUCUACAUCUUAUUAUUGUUAAUCUAUUACAGUAAACUUAUAGUUUGGUAUAGUAUGGAGCAUAUUAAUCAUCAUCUCUUCUGCUCUGCAUAACUUAGUUGAAGAAUUUUGAGAUUUCUUUAUUUAUUGUGUUGGCGCAAGAUUACUGUUGGUAUAUAGUCUACUCAAACUCAUAUGCUUCUUAAUACACACCUGACAGCAUUCUGAAUUCUAUUACAGGCCCAACACUUAACAAGGGUUCAUCACAAGAACCUAGUUUCGCCGAUUGGCUACUGUAAGGAUGGAGACUACCUGGGACUUGUUUAUGAGUACAUGGCUGAAGGGAUCCUCGGACUUGUUUAUGAGCACAUGGCUGAAGGGACCCUCCAAGAACAUCUGAGAGGUUUGUGAAUUUUAAAUUUGUUAAAUAUUUUGUGGUUGCGAUCAAGCUGAUUCAACGAGCUAUUGUUGACCAUCUUUGACAGGUAGAACUUCUGGAGCUAGACCUUUGACAUGGGGACAGCGGCUCCGAAUUGCAUUAGGUGACAAUGCAAUGAUAAUCUAGUAUGGUUCUUGUAAGACAAUUUAAGUUACUUAGUUUGAUUUAGUCUUACUUAUGUUGUCCCAAACUUGUAGAUGAUUAGUUUUUUUCAACUUCUUUCUGUAAAUCUUCUUGCGUGAGUAUACAAUCUCUAUUGUGAGAGACACAAUUCGAUGCAAAAUGUAGGAUUUCUGCUUGUUGAUCUGUGGUUUGUUUGGAAAGCUUUCUAUAAUGGUAUCCUAGGCUUGAUUGGCUAUGGGACAGCUUUUUAAGAUGAACUAUGUUGUAAAGAUUAUUUAUACUCUUUUUAACAUAUGAAGUUUGAUUAAGUCUUACUUAUUUGUGUGGAAUAAUUUUAUGAUUAAAUACUUUAUAGAGAUUCAAUUAGAUUUAAUAUAUAUUGGUUAUAAGGUGUUUGAGCCAUAGUACUUGGGUUUAAUUUGGUUUUGAGAGGAUUAAAUUGAAAUUAAAGGUUAAAAUUUAAGAAUAAGAAAUUUUUAUAACUAUUGGUUAUUUUUUAGCAAUUUAUACUAAAUCAAUAAUAUCUUUUACUACCAAUUAUUUUUUUAAAAAAAUUUAUUUUAUAUCAGAAAAUUGGUGGCGACAAUAGUUGCCACCAUAAAACUAUCCGGCGGGGUUUUAGCGACGACAGAAUGUCUUCGCUAAUUAUCUAACUUUUCGCGGCGACCGUAUGUCGCCGCUAAUUAUCUAACUUUUAGCGGUGACAAAUUGUCGCCACCAAAUAGUUUUACCGACGGGGUUUUAGGCGGCGGCAUGCGGCGACAAAUUGUCGCCGCCAAAACGUUUUUCGUGGCGACAAUUUUGACUAUGGUGGCGACAUUUGUCGCCACUAAAUCUUAUACCUGUAGUAGUGGAUCUAGAAGGAAAUACUCAAACCCUAACAUCAAAACCCUUAAAACAUAGAGUACUUAUCUUAGAUCCAAGCUCUAUUCCAAGCUAGGUCACCAUUAGAGGGUUUCUUCACCACCAAGCUAUCUCUUCUCCAUCUGUAAGGACUGAGAUUUUGACAGUGCAACUAAACUCUCUGUUGACGAUAUUUUUUUUUGUGUAAUUUAAUUACAUCAGCACUCGUCAAGUUUCAGGAGAAAACGAGUUAGAACGGAGAAGUUACGCGACCAGAACCGAUGACUUAAAGUGAAUAGUAACUCCGACUUUUCAGUUGAGCUAGUAAGUAGAGAAGGGUUUUGGUGCAUAUUGGACUCCGAAUAUAGGACUCCAAUAGCUCGUUUCGAACGGCUCGACUAUUUUGGACCUAAUGGCACUGACAGAAUUGGGUUCUGAUGGACGGUUUUCGAGAAAAAGGGGUUUGAUUGGGUUUACAUAUAUAAAUAUAUGUGGUUACUUGGUGGUUUGUAAUGAGGGUUGACUUCAUCGCAAAUCGGCUAACAAAUCAGAUAAAGCAAAAUGCUAGAUUCGAUGCCCCAGUUGUGCUGAACGCGCUGGCGCAAUCCGAUCGGAAAUCCGACGGACGGAUCUUCGGGAAUCGCAAAAUGUUCGCUGAGAGGUCGAAAUCAGCAAAAUGGAGAAAUCGUGAAAGGUCCAAUAUUUUAUGCGCCGUUUUGCGCUAGUUCGAACGUCGAGGGACUUAUGUGCAAAUGACACGUUCUUGUAGGGGACCUAGCUGAUAAUAUUGGUCUACGGUGGACUUUUCUACAAUUAUACAUUGGGUAUAAAUAUUGGUUUAGGGUUUCCAUGAGAAACCCUAACCCUAACUCGUCCCCCAACCAACCAGUCCACCCUAGCCGCCCUAGCUCCUCCUUGCCCUACCCGUGCUCAUGCCCCGGCCGCCGGCGAGCAGCCCCGGCCGCCGGAAAUCCCUGCAGCACCUCUCUCUCUCUCUCUCUCUCUCGGCCACCCACUUCACCGCUUUGUGGUUGCGGGUCCCAGGAAGUCAUCCAAGCCUGGGCGACAGCACCUUUUGGUCGAGACCCAUCUCAGGCAUCUCCCCUGUCGGCCCCGUCGUCCCUGCACGGCGCCGAAACCGCCUGCACAAAGCUGCGGCCAGCCUGGGCCAACCCAGGCCGAGCUGACUUCAGCUCGGGGCCCGCUUGUUGGAGCCUCCCUAGAUCAGCCGCCCCGACUUCCUCCGGCCUCCAGCUACCUCCGGCGCGCGUCCCCGGCCAUCCCCGUGCGCUGCCGGCGCCGCCCUAGCUCCCUGCAGCCAACCGCGGUGACCCAGACCGAGACUGGGUGAUCUCUGUUUCCGCGCGCCGCCGCCGCUCCCCGCUGGCAGUGCCGUCCUCCAGACAUAUCUGGUGACCUCCGGCGUGCAUCCCCGGACGUCCCUGAAGCCGCCGGCCGCCGCUCUUCAACUCUGCGGCUGCCCAAAGCUUGUGCGGGCCGAGGCCGAGCCACCUCGGCCACCGCACGACGCCGCUGCCCACGAAGGGGUGCAUCACGAUCCCCUCGGCAUCCGGCGACGGAUUGACGUCGCCCCGACCUCCUCCGACCGCCGCCGCGCCGCCGGGAAGCCUUGAAACCGAGAGCAGUUGGCGGGCUUGAUCUCCUCCGCCGCGGCACCGGUUGCCGCCCGCCGUCGGCCAGCACCUGCCCCGGACCUCUUGGACCGGCUUCUUCCAUUCUCCGCCGGAGCGCUCGUCGUCCGGCCACUAGAGACCAACCCUAACUCCCACUGCUCCGGUAUGCUAUUGUUUUAAGUUCCAGCACUGUAGUUUGGGGUUCCGGUCGUCUUUUCGGCAAUUCGAGAGCACUCCGAUAGUUAAGGAAGUGAGCACGAUGAUCCUGGUUUCGUGCGGAACAUCGUGCCCACCUCCGUUAGGUUAAUUGAGGCCUUGGGUAGUGAAUUAGACGCAACGUAGGCGCUGUGCGCGCUGUUUACAGAAGUUUGCAUCGCUCGAGCGCCCGCUACAGUGGCCGGUAGUGCUCAGAAAGGUGAGCACGGCCUCUGGCCCUCAAAAAGGUGAGCACGGCCUCUGGCACACUGAGACCUAUCAUCGAGUGUCUCAGCUUAGCAGAAUAAUCCUCGGUUUCUGCUAGCGGACCAUAAAAGCCCCGAAAUCACAUAAAAUAAUGUGAUUUUGGGUAAUCGGGAGGGUUUUUAUGCAAUUGUUCAUAUUGUGACUACUGUUUACAGUAUGUGCAGGCUGUGGGUACCCUCUGGACUGAUUGUCCAAAGCCCCAGACCUUUGCGGUGAUCGAAAGUACUUUUCCGGAGCGUUUGUCGGCAAAAUCCGCCGACAGAAUGCAGUUUCGGUUCGGAAUUCUUCCGACGGUGCUUUGUGAUGAUUUGCUAUGUCACCGAGCCUUGUUGGCUGUUCACUCGCGUCAUUUCGAGGGUUUGGAAAUGACGGGUGCGCGACGGUGGGUUCCGGUGUCGAAAUAGACACUUUCGGGAACCCGGAUCGAAACGAUUAUCCGACGGUAAUUGUUUCGACGUGAGGAGUUGUGUUUGCUGCCAUGAGGCACGAUUAUUUAUGUUUAGUGGCAGCGGGUGACUCGUAGCGCGAGUCGGUGUAUUCCGGGACAGUUCGUGGGUCCCGGGGAAGUCCCAGUGCGAUUUUUGGGACUUCCGGCGAGUUACCGUAAUUGGUUUCGGGAAACCGAUCUCCGUGGGAUUGUUGGUGGAGUUGUGAUACUGUGGUUAUUAGUUGUGGGUUAGGCACUAACCCGGUCGACCUUCCUUAGGUCCAGUUGACGUUCUUUUGCAGUCAGGAGACAGGCGCGACAUCCUUACAGGUGGGUACUUCGAUCCGACGUCGGUACAGUAGUGCACGCUCGGUGAUGGUUUCUUACCCUUACUCUUCUGUUGUUAUUAUUGCAUAGUAUAUAUUGAGCCUAGCACCCAUGUUAUUCCAUUAUACUCUACUCGUUUGCAUGCUUAAUAUCCUGAGUAGGAGUAGAGAAGUUCUAUCUAUGUGCGUAUCUGUUGACCUGGUUGGUCGAUUCUUGUACUUCAUAUCAGUGACUUGGUAGGUCGAUAAUUGUACUUCAUAUCAGUGACUUGGUAGGUCGAUUCUUGUACUUCGUAUCAAUGACUUGGUUGGUUGGUUCUCGUAUCUCGUAUUUGUGACACAUUUGGUCGGUUCCUUGACUUCUGUCGUUCGAUGACCGUUGUGGUCAAUGUACCCUAGAGGGGUUGGAUUGUUGGCUAGUGGCCGACGGUAGUUCUGAAUUCUAUUGAUACACUCUGAUGACCUAUUUGUCGAUUCGUUAUGCAUAUAUCCUAGUUGACCUGAGUGGUCAGUCCUUGUGGUUCAUUGAGCAGUAUUUGUAUACUUUUGAGAUGAUGUUGAUGUUGUUUCAUCCUAGUUGACCUGAGUGGUCAAUUCUUGUGCUUCCUUAUAGUUGAUGACCUAUACGGUCGAUGAGCCCUAUGGGCAGGAUUGUCGGCUGGUUGCCGACGUUUGGCUUUUGAGCAUAUCAGCAUUGAUCGCCCGACUCGUUCGCAGUUCACGAACACCGGCGGUCUGAUUCACCGCAAGAGGUGUUCUUUUCCGGAAAAGUGGUUGCAGGUGCCAACCCGUGAGCCCUAGAGGGGUUAUAUGCAUGUUAGAGCGGCAGUGGUAUUGUCGGGAGGUGUUGCGGUGCGGACCUCCAGGGCACAGGCUUGAAGUUUGCGGUGCGGACCAACAGAGCAGCAGAUUCCAAAUUGGGUAUAUUUGGUCUAUACAUCCGAUUGAUACAUAUGUCUAUAGUAGCAGUCGUUGCAUGCAUACUUACAGUU